This 253-nucleotide ribosomal RNA is filed under the name uncultured bacterium. RNAcentral's name for it is "partial 16S ribosomal RNA". It matches the Rfam family "Bacterial small subunit ribosomal RNA", at positions 524 to 776 of the family's 1533-position model. The record is from RNAcentral.
GACGUAGGGCGCGAGCGUUGUCCGGAUUUAUUGGGCGUAAAGAGCUCGUAGGUGGUUUGUCGCGUUGUUCGUGAAAACUCACAACUCAAUUGUGGGCGUGCGGGCGAUACGGGCAGACUGGAGUACUGCAGGGGAGACUGGAAUUCCUGGCGUAGCGGUGGAAUGCGCAGAUAUCAGGAGGAACACCGGUGGCGAAGGCGGGUUUCUGGGCAGUAACUGACGCUGAGGAGCGAAAGCGUGGGGAGCGAACAGG